Molecule: ribosomal RNA, 492 nt
Filed under: uncultured bacterium
Lineage: Bacteria
Description: partial 16S ribosomal RNA
Rfam family: Bacterial small subunit ribosomal RNA
Source: RNAcentral
AGUGAACGCUGGCGGUAGGCCUAACACAUGCAAGUCGAACGGCAGCACAGUAAGAGCUUGCUCUUACGGGUGGCGAGUGGCGGACGGGUGAGGAAUACAUCGUAAUCUACUUUUUCGUGGGGGAUAACGUAGGGAAACUUACGCUAAUACCGCAUACGACCUACGGGGGAGAGCAGGGGAUCUUCGGACCUUGCGCGAGUGGAUGCGCGGAUGUCGGAUUAGCUAGGUGGCGGGGUGAAGGCCCACCAAUGGGACGAUACGUAGCUUGUCGGUGGGGAUGGUCACUCACCCGGGAACCUGACCCUCCGCCCGGCCCCUUCGGUAGGGCCCAGUGGGGAAUAUUGGACAGUGGGGGCAAGCCUGCUCCAGCCAUCCCGCGUGGGUGAAGAAGGCCUUCCGGUUGUAAAGCCCUUUUGUUGGGAAAGAAAAGCAGCAGGUUAAUACCCCGCUGUUCUGACGGUACCCAAAGAAUAAGCACCGGCUAACUUCGUG